GGAAUCGAAUAGCCGAAUGACGGCAAGGCGCCCCGACGCGAAGCGCGGACGGGCUUAAUCGGGAAGCCGGUGCGAAUCCGGCGCGGUCCCGCCA
This 94-nucleotide transfer RNA is filed under the name Cohnella ginsengisoli. The record is from RNAcentral. Lineage: Bacteria; Bacillati; Bacillota; Bacilli; Caryophanales; Paenibacillaceae.